UCUACACCUUUCCACUAGAACUAGAAUAGUCAGGAUAUUGUUUUUCCUCUUCAUCACACAACACAAAUCAAAGCUGAAAGAACGAAAAUUAUCCGAAAGUAGAGGAGAAGUUGGAAAAGGGGGCUAUUGUUGCUUCCUCUCUGUAAUGUCUGCAAUUCCUUCUUUAUUAUGUGAAAAAUAAACAAAAAUUUGAUAGCCCCUUUCGCAUUUAAAAAUCUUAAGAGCGAUCCCUUAAUCUUUGAUUAUUCUAUAGAACUUUCAAUCCUAAAGUGCGGAACAUCAGUAAUAGUACUACUAAUAAUAAUUGUUGCGAAAAUUUCAGUGCUAUUAUGACAAUUUUCUUCUUUCUCUCACCAAAUUGAUAGUGGAGGAGAAAUUUGACAAGUAUCUUGGUUGGUUAACUUGGAGGAAAAGUGACCCUGCAACUGGUGCUUGCAGCCAUUGAGGUGAUUCCAGUCACUCUUGCCGAGUUGUAUCAAACACAUGAGAAUCUUUCCAUUAAAGGAAAAAGACUUAUCUUAGAUUCAGAGCCAAAUAAUGAGGAUUGUAGAGAGUAACGGGGAAAACUUCAAAGACAUCUUCAUUCUGAAGAAGAACAUGGGAGAAUGCUUGCAAUACUAUUGUUAUGAUUCUGAACAUUUUGAGCCGUUAUACAGUUUAUACAAGACGCUAACUCUAUGAAUGACACAAGGAAAAAUCUUACAGCUAUACCGUUCAUAAAAGAGGCUAACUAUUUGAAUGACACAAGGUAAAAAUGUUGCAACUAUACUAUUGAUAUGACCUACAAAGUCUUGCAUCAAAUAUUGCAGAUAGAUAAAAUUUUCUUUUCCCCAUGCACAAGCUGGAGAGGAGAUUUCUCUUUUCAGUUACUCUUUGUGCGCAUUAUAGUGAACUUUAUAUAUGUUACUGAAAUCAUUAUUUCAUCAUAACUAAGAACGAGUUACAAAAGAAUAGUAAUUUAAUUGGGCUCUACUAAUUAUAGGAUUCACUUUUAUCCUAAAAAUAUGAUGUGGGUGAAUUACUCGCUCGCACUUUCUCCUUCACAAAUUGGAGAUGAAUAUUUUCUCUAGACAGGGUCUUUAUGUGUUUGCUUUUACUAUAAUGACUUUGACAGAAUGAUGGCGAAUUUAUA
Solanum pennellii is the source of this 1132-nucleotide long non-coding RNA. RefSeq lists it as uncharacterized. The record is from RefSeq and is a predicted model, not a curated record. Lineage: Eukaryota; Viridiplantae; Streptophyta; Magnoliopsida; Solanales; Solanaceae. The transcript has 4 exons.